This 733-nucleotide long non-coding RNA is filed under the name Marmota monax (woodchuck). The record is from RNAcentral. Lineage: Eukaryota; Metazoa; Chordata; Mammalia; Rodentia; Sciuridae.
CUUUAUUUUAUUUUAUGUGGUGCUGAGGAUCGAACCCAGCGCCCCGCACACGCCAGGCGAGUGCGCUACCACUUGAGCCACAUCCCCAGCCCGAUUUGAGGAUGCUUUGUUACUCAGCAAUACAAACUAAAACAAAAACUGGCUCUUGGAAGUAGGAAGUUGCCAUAGUUAAAACCUGAAACGUGUGAUGUUGACUUUGGGACCAGCUACAGAGGCAGCAUGGACGUGCUAAUACAGGCUGGAUGGUCAGGAAGGAAUAGCCAUUGGGACUAGGGAAAGGCCCUGCCGUGAUUUAUAGUAAUUCAUGUCACCUGCGGAAGUGGAACGUUCCUAAGAAGCCCACUAGAGAUGGCCAAGGUGCUGUCCAGGCAUAAUGGUGAAAGUACCAACCAGGUAGGGCUGAUGAACUCUUACCAGAAAGAUGAAGCAAAAGGAACUUUUCAGUUUGUAAGCAAAACUUGAAGGAAAACGGAGGGCUGGAACAGUCUUCAGCUUUUAAAAAAAUAAAAAUAAAUCAACUUUCACCAGUAGUAAUGUAAGAAAAUGAUCUAAGAAAUCACUUUGGCCAGUGGGAAAAAAAAAUGGGACAUUUGAAAAGUUCAGCAGUACAAUGCAUACAGGGACAGUGGAAAUGGCUGGUUGACACUGAACUGCCUUCGUAUCUUAGGGAGAUAAGGGGAAGCAGCUAACACACGAUGGAAACUAUCUGUGAAGGCCACUGUCUCCCAAGUAG